This 429-nucleotide ribosomal RNA is filed under the name Chloroflexota bacterium. RNAcentral's name for it is "Chloroflexi bacterium partial 16S ribosomal RNA". It matches the Rfam family "Bacterial small subunit ribosomal RNA", at positions 355 to 776 of the family's 1533-position model. The record is from RNAcentral. Lineage: Bacteria; Bacillati; Chloroflexota.
UGGGGAAUAUUGCACAAUGGGCGCAAGCCUGAUGCAGCCAUGCCGCGUGUAUGAAGAAGGCCUUCGGGUUGUAAAGUACUUUCAGCGGGGAGGAAGGGAGUAAAGUUAAUACCUUUGCUCAUUGACGUUACCCGCAGAAGAAGCACCGGCUAACUCCGUGCCAGCAGCCGCGGUAAUACGGAGGGUGCAAGCGUUAAUCGGAAUUACUGGGCGUAAAGCGCACGCAGGCGGUCUGUCAAGUCGGAUGUGAAAUCCCCGGGCUCAACCUGGGAACGGCAUUCGAAACUGGCAGGCUAGAGUCUUGUAGAGGGGGGUAGAAUUCCAGGUGUAGCGGUGAAAUGCGUAGAGAUCUGGAGGAAUACCGGUGGCGAAGGCGGCCCCCUGGACAAAGACUGACGCUCAGGUGCGAAAGCGUGGGGAGCAAACAGG